RNAcentral lists this ribosomal RNA (389 nucleotides) under uncultured bacterium. RNAcentral's name for it is "bacterial SSU rRNA". It matches the Rfam family "Bacterial small subunit ribosomal RNA", at positions 29 to 420 of the family's 1533-position model. The record is from RNAcentral.
AUUGAACGCUGGCGGCAUGCCUUACACAUGCAAGUCGAACGGCAGCACGGGAGCAAUCCUGGUGGCGAGUGGCGAACGGGUGAGUAAUAUAUCGGAACGUGCCCGGUCGUGGGGAUAACGCAGCGAAAGCUGUGCUAAUACCGCAUACGAUCUAUGGAUGAAAGCGGGGGAUCGCAAGACCUCGCGCGAUUGGAGCGGCCGAUAUCAGAUUAGCUAGUUGGUGGGGUAAAGGCCCACCAAGGCGACGAUCUGUAGCUGGUCUGAGAGGACGACCAGCCACACUGGAACUGAGACACGGUCCAGACUCCUACGGGAGGCAGCAGUGGGGAAUUUUGGACAAUGGGCGCAAGCCUGAUCCAGCAAUGCCGCGUGCAGGAUGAAGGCCUCGG